Molecule: ribosomal RNA, 274 nt
Filed under: uncultured bacterium
Lineage: Bacteria
Description: partial 16S ribosomal RNA
Rfam family: Bacterial small subunit ribosomal RNA
Source: RNAcentral
GGGACCUACAGGGCGCAGCAGUGAGGAAUAUUGGUCAAUGGGCGGAAGCCUGAACCAGCCAAGUCGCGUGAGGGAAUAAGGCCCUACGGGUCGUAAACCUCUUUUGCCGGGGAGCAAGGGCGGGGACGUGUCCCGGCCCGGAGAGUACCCGGCGAAAAAGCAUCGGCUAACUCCGUGCCAGCAGCCGCGGUAAUACGGAGGAUGCGAGCGUUAUCCGGCUUUAUUGGGUUUAAAUGGUGCGUAGGCGGGCUUUUAAGUCAGCGGUAAAAAUUCG